Molecule: long non-coding RNA, 3416 nt
Filed under: Sus scrofa (pig)
Lineage: Eukaryota; Metazoa; Chordata; Mammalia; Artiodactyla; Suidae
Description: lncRNA (ENSSSCG00035049142.1)
Source: RNAcentral
AUGCCACAGAAAAAGAAUGUCCAAAGCCACUUGAUUUGAAAUGUGGAAUAGUUCACUUUGGCUUCUGAAAAAGUGAAAUCAAACUCCUUCCUUAAAAAGCACCCUAUGUGUUACCUGAAACUUCCAAAGACACAUGGAUGCAGAUUCUGCCGUUUGUUGCUGUCGGUGCUGAGCGAGAGCUGAUGAAUGAAAAUCGAUUGUGGUUUCUCCUCCGGGUCUGAGUCACCGUCACCAAAGCCAUGGAGACUUCGGCACACCAGCCCUGACAGUGCCUGGCAGUGCGUGGGAAGGCCGGGCCUCCGGUCCCUCAAAGCCUGAGGAGGUGAGGAAGAAAAGGGCCCCUGGGCCGCUGGACCCCAAUUCCUAGGGUCCCACGGGAGGAGCAGCCGUGUCCCCCUGCCCCCAGCGGCUUCAUCCCUUGGAGACGAAGACAGGACCUCCUGCAGCCCAGAUACCAUCCCCAGCAUCUGUAGCCUGAAAUAGACUAGUUGCUGUCAUCUGGGGUCCCUAUCUAGCUGUGACAAAGUCCAGAGCAUCUGGAUGCCCCUUGGUGCUGCAGUCCUGCCCAUCCAUCCAGGCCUGAACUGCAGUGCAUUUGCCAGGGUCCUCCCUUCUGUCUGUGAUCUCCAAAACCACCUGAGGCUGGGGAGGGGCACAAGAAGAAAAAAUUGAGGGGUGGAAGCAGCAGGUUAUGGCAGAAGUUAGCAUCAGACGAACGAGUGAAGGAAAGGCGUUUUCCCACAGAUUUCACAUCCCCUAGGAUCGCUGCACGGAAAAGCCAUGAAGACUAGUUUCCACCAGAAGGAACAGAAUCAUGAUCAUCAAGAGAUUUUGCAAACCGACUUCAUCGCGCAGGGGUCUCUCAGCAUCAAAGAAUGAAUAUGAUAAAAACAGAAGAGUUGAAGAAAAAGAAAGCUUCCAGUCCCAGCAAAUUCCCACCAACACAUUCCUUCAGAUAUCCAGUGAUGACUCAGACUAUUGUAGGCGGACCACCCAGAGGCAGGAGUGGUGAUGGCAGGACCCAGUUUUAUGGCAACACGGUGGCCGAGUGCUUCAGAAUCCCAAAGGAAGGCUUUGUGGACCAAGUGGCCAGGGGAAAUUGGGAUGCUGUAUACCAAGGACAUUACCAAGUGUGACAUGAUUUUGAAAUCUGCUAAGGGAGGAAUGAAGAGGAUCCGGUAAGAGAGCUGUAAGCACAUCAUUCAGUUCAGGAUGUACUGGAAAUUUAGCAAGCACCGGCAAAUUCCAUGUGAGUAGUUUAAUUCCAAAAUAGUCAUUCUCGAUCAUAUUUAAUUAGGAAAUCAAUUAGUAUUAAGUGCGUCACGGGCUGAGGGCACCUAGGCUGCGUUCUACCUACAUAUGUAUUUUCUUUGGCUAGAGCCAUGCUUUCUCUGUUGUGUUUUAAAUUUGAAUGUUUUCAAAUGAAGCAUGUGACUUGCUUCAGUAUGUUUCAAAUUUGAAAGGCACGCGCAAUAUAAGAAACAUAUUUUACUUUGUUGCACAGACCUCUCUCUCUCUCUCUCUCUCUCUCACACACACACACACACACACGUACAUACGUAAAUACAAAAUAAUUCUUAUCCUGACUACAUCUGGGGAACAUAUUCUGAUAUACUUUAUUCUGUCCUAAUCUACCCUACCCUAUCCUACUCUACUUUAUUAUUUCAUUUAAAAAGCUUGGCUGUGGCCCACUGAAUUCACACUGACGUCUGAAAAACACCAUCUCCUCUCUUAUCCUUCACAAACAUCAGUCUUUUCAUUACCAUCCUUGCCCCCAGAGACAUCUGCAUGUCUGCAUCUCAAAAGAAGGGAGGAAAAUUUGUUCUAAAAUCUGAAUAGAAUAUCCUCAGAAACUGGCCAGGUGACUAGCAUGAGCAUAAAAGUGUCGGAGGGGAUUUUUUGCUCAUCUUAGAUUCAAGAAGGGAGGAUAAAAAUAUGACAUUUCCUAUGUACAAUCAAGCACCGGGAAAGCCAAUGAACCUUGAGCAUCAGAGAGCAUGCUUUUGGCUGCAAGAAUAGAACACCAUCGGAAACUGCCUUGAACAGUAAGAGUAUGUACUAAAACCAAACUGGAUUAGACAAUCAAGAUACUUAUGAUCUCCUGUGUCUACAAGGCCAGAGGUUGGGUGACUUUCUGCGUGAUGACGCAAUGAUGUUACUAAGUAGCCAUUUUGUUUCCAUCUUACCUUUUUACUAUUUUGCAUAUUUGAUUACUCCUAAGGUUUGUUCUCCUGGAAGCCACCUGAUAGCUGCCAGGGAUAAUGGCAUGCUCUCUUGGUCACAGCAGUACCUAAAAAUGUAUCCUCCCGGCAUGCACUGACUGGGCUAAUUUAGAUCAUUGGCUCACCUGGGGACUAACAACAACCUCUAGGGGCUUGCCAUCAAUUGACUGGCUUCAACUAAUUCCAUUCUUCUAGAAUGGAGAAUGAAUUCACUCACCCCUGAGUCACACCAAGUGGUGGCAUCCCAGCUAGCAUUCUGUUAGAAUAGGAGAAGAUGGGAGUGGGGGCUACAUAAUACGGGCUGGAAAGGCAGUAUCCAUGGCUUCUUUCAUUUAUUUAUUUACAGGUUCCCUUUUUUGGAAUCAUUUUGUUUCAUGGCUUCUCUGCUCUUCAAGUCCCUACAGCUAGAGACUUCAACUCUCACGGUAAAGUUCAGCUUUAUCUCGGGAUCUGGGUUCUGUACCAUCCUUCUUGUGUCCCAGAGAGAGGCGAGUUAUAUUCCCAGAUUGCUUAGCACUAUUUCUUUUCCUUUGUUUAUCUAACAAUAUUCCACUCUCACAGCGAUUGAGAUGCACCUUCUUGUGACUCUUAAGUCCUUCCUCUAUUUUAUUCCCGUGUAUUUCAGUAUAUAUGAUGAAAAUCAGCCUAGUUUCUUAUCAUAGUUAGGACUGCAGUCUUGUCUCUUCCAAGUUAAUCCCCUUACGUAGGGGUCUGAAUCUCGCCCUCAUACCUAACUUUGUACAUAAGACCGCAUUUUCUGCCAAAGGACAUCUCCUGGCCUAUUGGAUCUCUGAACAUUUCCUGACCCUUAUUUUCCUGUUGCCAUGGUUAUGGGCACACUGUUGACCUUUGCUGAACUUAUUUGAUAAUAACUGCUUUCCUUUGACUCUUCGUAUUACAUUUUGCUGCAGUUUCUAAAAAAUGCUGUCUGAUCACCUGGAAUUUUUUUUACACUCUGUUUCAGAUUUUUUCCAAACUUUAUUGAUGCUUUACCUAUUUUUUUUAGCUGAAGUGUAGUGGAUUUACAAUGUUGUGUUUACAAUAUUGAUUUACAAGGUUGUGUUAAUUUCUGCUGUACAGCAAAGUGAUUCAUAUAUGUAUGAAUUCUUUUUUAUAUUCUUUUCCCUUAUGAUUUAUCACAGGAUGCUUAAUAUAGUUCCCUGUGCUAUAGAAUAAAACCUUGUUGUUUAUCCA